UGGGGAAUUUUGGACAAUUGGGCGAAAGCCUGAUCCAGCAAUGCCGCGUGUGUGAAGAAGGCCUUCGGGUUGUAAAGCACUUUUGUCCGGAAAGAAAUCCUUGGCUCUAAUACAGUCGGGGGAUGACGGUACCGGAAGAAUAAGCACCGGCUAACUACGUGCCAGCAGCCGCGGUAAUACGUAGGGUGCAAGCGUUAAUCGGAAUUACUGGGCGUAAAGCGUGCGCAGGCGGUUUGCUAAGACCGAUGUGAAAUCCCCGGGCUCAACCUGGGAACUGCAUUGGUGACUGGCAGGCUAGAGUAUGGCAGAGGGGGGUAGAAUUCCACGUGUAGCAGUGAAAUGCGUAGAGAUGUGGAGGAAUACCGAUGGCGAAGGCAGCCCCCUGGGCCAAUACUGACGCUCAUGCACGAAAGCGUGGGGAGCAAACAGGAUUAGAUACCCUGGUAGUCCACGCCCUAAANGAUGUCAACUAGUUGUUGGGGAUUCAUUUCCUUAGUAACGUAGCUAACGCGUGAAGUUGACCGCCUGGGGAGUACGGUCGCAAGAUUAAAACUCAAAGAAUUGACGGGGUCAUAGCUGUUUCCU
Molecule: ribosomal RNA, 585 nt
Filed under: uncultured bacterium
Lineage: Bacteria
Description: partial 16S ribosomal RNA
Rfam family: Bacterial small subunit ribosomal RNA
Source: RNAcentral